UUUCCGUAGGUGAACCUGCGGAAGGAUCAUUAACGAGUUGCGACGCCUCAGGGAUCCAUCCCCACCCCUUGACUACCAACAUCGUGGCUUUUGCGGCCCGCGUCCCUGCUGGCGCCGGCCCCGGCUGGCGAGCGCCCGCCCGAGGCUUUUCCUAUCUUUCUUGCACUGUGUCUAAACGAAAAAACAAUGCGAAAAACUUUCAACAACGGACCUCUUGGUUCUG
This 223-nucleotide unclassified non-coding RNA is filed under the name plant metagenome. RNAcentral's name for it is "partial contains small subunit ribosomal RNA, internal transcribed spacer 1, and 5.8S ribosomal RNA". The record is from RNAcentral.